RNAcentral lists this ribosomal RNA (497 nucleotides) under uncultured bacterium. Its description in RNAcentral is "partial 16S ribosomal RNA". It matches the Rfam family "Bacterial small subunit ribosomal RNA", at positions 28 to 507 of the family's 1533-position model. The record is from RNAcentral.
GAUGAACGCUGGCGGCGUGCCUAAUACAUGCAAGUCGAGCGAACAGAUGAGGAGCUUGCUCCUCUGACGUUAGCGGCGGACGGGUGAGUAACACGUGGAUAACCUACCUAUAAGACUGGGAUAACUUCGGGAAACCGGAGCUAAUACCGGAUAAUAUAUUGAACCGCAUGGUUCAAUAGUGAAAGACGGUUUUGCUGUCACUUAUAGAUGGAUCCGCGCCGCAUUAGCUAGUUGGUAAGGUAACGGCUUACCAAGGCAACGAUGCGUAGCCGACCUGAGAGGGUGACGGCACACACAGGAACUAAGACCCGGCCACGCCCCCUAGGGGGGGAGGAGGGAGGGAUUUUCCCGAAAGGGGCGAAAGCCGGAGGGACCACCGCCGCGUGAUUGAUGAAGUUCUUGGGAUGGAAAACCUUUUUUAUUAGGGAAGACAAAAUGUGUAAGUAAUUAUGCACGUCUGGAGGGUCCCUAAUAAGAAGCCCACGGCAACCUCCGUC